AUCCAUUUGGGAAACUUUGGGUACAAUCAAGUGUAGUAUCUUUUCUUUUCAGUUUAUUUAGUGUGUCUUCUAUUUGAAGACAGUAUAUUAAAUACAAUUUUGGAGUUCUGAGAUGGUAUGGGGCUUGCUUCUUCUAUCCCAUUCAUUAACCUGGUGUUGUAGUAUCUGCAUGAUCACUGUAUCAAAA
Molecule: small nuclear RNA, 187 nt
Organism: Meriones unguiculatus (Mongolian gerbil)
Lineage: Eukaryota; Metazoa; Chordata; Mammalia; Rodentia; Muridae
Gene: U2
Rfam family: U2 spliceosomal RNA
About the family: U2 is a small nuclear RNA (snRNA) component of the spliceosome (involved in pre-mRNA splicing). Complementary binding between U2 snRNA (in an area lying towards the 5' end but 3' to hairpin I) and the branchpoint sequence (BPS) of the intron results the bulging out of an unpaired adenosine, on the BPS, which initiates a nucleophilic attack at the intronic 5' splice site, thus starting the first of two transesterification reactions that mediate splicing.
Source: Ensembl